CAGAGAGUCGAAAGCGAGAGUGCGAGAGAUAAUCAGAGAUAAUUUAGCAUUUGAGAGGAGAGGAGGCGAAAGAAGAAGAUAGGAGUAUAGUGACAGUAAAGGAUUUUAGGAGCGGAAAAGGUGCGGACAGGCGGGAAGAACGGAGGAGGGGGCAGUGCCAUCUAGCGAUAGAAGGGAGAAGGAGAGUAGGACAAGGUGCGAGGAUCUCGGUAGAUAAAGAAGAGUUGAUAGGGGGUGGAAAUGAAGAAGUUGUAAGAGCUAAAGGGCAGAAAGAAGAAGGGGAAAGGGGGAGGAUGACAACGAACAGAAAAAAGAGGAGGGAUCAAGGAAAGAGGCACUUCGAUGAAAAGCGAAUGAGCUGCACCCGCUCUAUGUACAUCAGCACAUUCCUGAGGACAUCUCCGGAUGCAACGGGAUCCGCAUAACAGUACGACGGUCUAGCAUCCGCAUCCAUCAAAUGCCACGAUACAACUAAUUGGAUGGACAUUUUACCCAUUGUUUUAGUGGGCAUUCGAACGGCCAUCAAGGACCACUUGAAGUUGGUCUACAGGACAGAUAUGUUUACCUGUGGAUUUCUUCGUCUCCAGCAAUUGCGAGGCAAAUUCCGACUACGUUGCACGUCUGAG
This is a long non-coding RNA of Dufourea novaeangliae, 626 nucleotides long. RefSeq lists it as uncharacterized. The record is from RefSeq and is a predicted model, not a curated record. NCBI's taxonomy places the organism in Eukaryota, Metazoa, Arthropoda, Insecta, Hymenoptera, Halictidae. The transcript has 3 exons.